RNAcentral lists this ribosomal RNA (1402 nucleotides) under Lacticaseibacillus rhamnosus. Its description in RNAcentral is "bacterial SSU rRNA". It matches the Rfam family "Bacterial small subunit ribosomal RNA". Lineage: Bacteria; Bacillati; Bacillota; Bacilli; Lactobacillales; Lactobacillaceae. The record is from RNAcentral.
AUUAUUGAAAGGUGCUUGCAUCUUGAUUUAAUUUUGAACGAGUGGCGGACGGGUGAGUAACACGUGGGUAACCUGCCCUUAAGUGGGGGAUAACAUUUGGAAACAGAUGCUAAUACCGCAUAAAUCCAAGAACCGCAUGGUUCUUGGCUGAAAGAUGGCGUAAGCUAUCGCUUUUGGAUGGACCCGCGGCGUAUUAGCUAGUUGGUGAGGUAACGGCUCACCAAGGCAAUGAUACGUAGCCGAACUGAGAGGUUGAUCGGCCACAUUGGGACUGAGACACGGCCCAAACUCCUACGGGAGGCAGCAGUAGGGAAUCUUCCACAAUGGACGCAAGUCUGAUGGAGCAACGCCGCGUGAGUGAAGAAGGCUUUCGGGUCGUAAAACUCUGUUGUUGGAGAAGAAUGGUCGGCAGAGUAACUGUUGUCGGCGUGACGGUAUCCAACCAGAAAGCCACGGCUAACUACGUGCCAGCAGCCGCGGUAAUACGUAGGUGGCAAGCGUUAUCCGGAUUUAUUGGGCGUAAAGCGAGCGCAGGCGGUUUUUUAAGUCUGAUGUGAAAGCCCUCGGCUUAACCGAGGAAGUGCAUCGGAAACUGGGAAACUUGAGUGCAGAAGAGGACAGUGGAACUCCAUGUGUAGCGGUGAAAUGCGUAGAUAUAUGGAAGAACACCAGUGGCGAAGGCGGCUGUCUGGUCUGUAACUGACGCUGAGGCUCGAAAGCAUGGGUAGCGAACAGGAUUAGAUACCCUGGUAGUCCAUGCCGUAAACGAUGAAUGCUAGGUGUUGGAGGGUUUCCGCCCUUCAGUGCCGCAGCUAACGCAUUAAGCAUUCCGCCUGGGGAGUACGACCGCAAGGUUGAAACUCAAAGGAAUUGACGGGGGCCCGCACAAGCGGUGGAGCAUGUGGUUUAAUUCGAAGCAACGCGAAGAACCUUACCAGGUCUUGACAUCUUUUGAUCACCUGAGAGAUCAGGUUUCCCCUUCGGGGGCAAAAUGACAGGUGGUGCAUGGUUGUCGUCAGCUCGUGUCGUGAGAUGUUGGGUUAAGUCCCGCAACGAGCGCAACCCUUAUGACUAGUUGCCAGCAUUUAGUUGGGCACUCUAGUAAGACUGCCGGUGACAAACCGGAGGAAGGUGGGGAUGACGUCAAAUCAUCAUGCCCCUUAUGACCUGGGCUACACACGUGCUACAAUGGAUGGUACAACGAGUUGCGAGACCGCGAGGUCAAGCUAAUCUCUUAAAGCCAUUCUCAGUUCGGACUGUAGGCUGCAACUCGCCUACACGAAGUCGGAAUCGCUAGUAAUCGCGGAUCAGCACGCCGCGGUGAAUACGUUCCCGGGCCUUGUACACACCGCCCGUCACACCAUGAGAGUUUGUAACACCCGAAGCCGGUGGCGUAACCCUU